AACGGCCUGAAAAUAUGGCAGAUUCAUGAUACCCUUAAACAACGGCUACAACUUCCGCUGUCCUGAUUGGUUCAGCCAAGGCCGCUGACACUUGAAUGAUGUUUAUUUAAACCAAUAAGAUUCGAAGAAUUUUCGAUCGACGACGUCUGAGGUAAAAUUAUUUUAGUAGACUGUAAUAUGUGAAUAAUAACUGACAUUAAUUGACAUUAAAGUACGUAGAAUAUUUGAAAAGGCCGUCUCCCAUAGAUUUAUUUUGUUAUAGGUUGUUAUAGAAGGGCUGCUCAUUCGUGCUCCUGGAGGUCUACCAUCCCGCAGAGCUUGGCUUCAACAUAGCUGGCGCUAAUACUGAGAUGCUGCUGAAGGACCUGCACCUAAGUACCAUAGGAAGGGUAAAAUGUACAGAUGCAGCCACCUCAAUUUUCCCCUCCCAGCCGGCUGCCUGCUGGUUGCCAGCCAAGUGACAGCCGGCUGCCUACCGUUUGCCUGCCAAAAGCCAGCCAAAGGGAGUAACCCUCCUCCUUCUGGGGGUGUGCCUAAAUUCACGUCUAAACCCGCCCAUUUACUCACUUGCAGGGUGUUACCAUGGAAUGGUGCUUUCUUUACAAAAACACAUUUUAGUUGUGGUCACAUGUUUACAUACACAAGUACAACAGGUAUCAACCAGAAUCUUUUGGUAGCCAUUAGCAAGCCUCUGGCAUAAUUCUGGCUGAAUAUCACCACUCUUCUUUGCAGACUUUCUACUUCAUUUAAACUAGUUGGAUUCCUGGCACGGACCUGGCUUUUCAGCAUAACCCACAACUGUUUUGAAGCUUGGCAUCCUGAUCAGGAGUGACAAUUUACAUAAAAACUUUUUUUCAGUUGCUAAGACAGUACUAUAGAUACUACCCUCUACUAUCGCUUCACAUGCAUGACCCAUCCUUGGUAUUGCUCUGGAGAAAUAUCUUGGCAUACAGCAUUCAUUGUUUGAUCUUGUGUCAAUUUACAUAAUUUGUUUAUUUUAUGUGGUUUUUACAAUCUAUCUUAGAAAGGGUCUUGAUAGUAAUUUAGCAAAAUGACAUAUUUCAGUUUUGACUGUUUUAUUAGCAGUUUUAGGGUCAGUAUGUACUUAUGUGCAAAAUUUAAUGUUGUGGGACAGGAAUCCAUGAUUUUUGAAGCAUUUAGUUAUUGAUUGCAUUUUGUAUGAAAGCAAAGCGAAAUGCUUAACAGUUUAGCCCACAUAAGCUAAUGUUGUGGUGACUGUAUGAAGAGUUUUGAGAAAGCAACUUCAGUAUUGCAGUAUCUGUCUUAGCAAUUGAAAAAAACUGUAAAAUUCACACUGCCUUUCCAAACUGAUUAGUGUGAGGAGCAGUGACAGACAUUCCAGACUGAUGGGCCAUUGACAGUAUGCAAAGGUGUGGUGACUCCAGAGUCACUUCAUAGUUGUUACACUUUAAUAAUCAAAUCUCAUACAAUUCUUUGAAUGUCUCAUUCACCUUUGUGUAGCCAGCCCCUAUGUCUAUAAGCUUCAGAGCUCAAAAAUCUUGGCUAGAAAUGUUUAUAAUGUGAUUUUUUGCAAUUUGUCAGCACCACUGAAAAUAGGUUUUUGAAAAGUGUAUGUUUAACGUAGAUUUUAACAAAAACAAUAGAAUAACCACAUUCUAAAUGAUCUCAGAUUAUUGCUGCUGAGUUUGCUGAAUAAAAGCAUUUGUAGCA
This is a long non-coding RNA of Brienomyrus brachyistius, 1692 nucleotides long. RefSeq lists it as uncharacterized. Lineage: Eukaryota; Metazoa; Chordata; Actinopteri; Osteoglossiformes; Mormyridae. The transcript is spliced from 4 exons. The record is from RefSeq and is a predicted model, not a curated record.